GAAGCAUUCAAAGAGAGAUAACAAAGUCUAUUGGAACAGCUGAGAUUUAUGGAUGAGAAACAAAAAUAUCAGUGGGCAGUAGAUUAAAAAUCUUGCCCAUGACAGUUUAAGAAGCAUUGCUGUGGUCUUCAUCAAAGCAAGCGGACCACUGGAGGAUGCUGUAUUUGAUAACUGAAUCUCCGUGUCUAGAAUCGUCACAUGGACCGCCUGAAAGAGACAAGCCUAUGAAUCAAAAUGCAACCAGUUCUUUCCAGCUGACAAAUAUUUGGCAGUAAAGAACCAGAGGAACGGGGGAAAUAAUGUCACUCCCGGAGGACCGCUCCUAGCCCAUCAGAUUACCAGGGUUCCUCCAGGGCCAGCUGUGGGAGGAAUAGCCUGAUGCCACGGUCACCUGGAGUUCCUUCUCCCUCCCACAGCACAGGAGGACCAGCCCCUUAGAGGCCCUCACUGAAGGGCAGAGGGCAUGCUCUCAGGCGGUCAUUUCUGUGUCUACCUGUUCCAACACACUGAGCUUGUCCAGGGCAGAGACUCCUGCUCCUCCAUCCCCCCAACAUGGCUCUUCUUCACUGAAUUCUCUCCUCCUCUGCCAAAUAUAAGGUUCCUUGCUAGGCAAAGAACCUUGUCAGCCUCUAGUUAGGGGUGCUGAACUUUGGCAACUGGUAGCCUGCCUCCUACUUAUCAGGUUCUAUCCAAGCUGAUCCUCCAGACUUUGUCCUCCCCUGCUUAGGCAGAAACUCUAGGGUAGGAAGUCCGUUGCCCGCUGCCGAAGCUCAGCACCCAAAGCAAGGUGGCCCACGUCCUUCCCUAGCACGGAUCCCUAUAGUAGGCAGUUGUGUCUGGGAGAGGCUAAGGCAAAGACGAGAGGGUCAGCUGGGCUAAAAACCGGAAGUGCUUAGAGACUGAAGAGUUUCUUCAUCUUGAGAACCAAAAAGACAGACUGUCAGGUCUGCAUGCUCCUCUCUGAGCUGAGGGAAACCCCCUAGGUAAAUAGCUCCCAGUUGGAGGCGAGUGCCCCGACCCUUCCCCACUUCAGCAGCUUCAGCCUCCAGACUCAACACAUGCUGGGCCAUCUUGGAGGUCUGGUGUUCCAGGCCUCCCCAGCUGCCUGCACCUCCGAAAGGGGAAAUGGGGGUGGGGUGGGAGGGCCAGGCCUGGGGAAGUGAUUUUAGAAGUGCAAGUCUGGUGGGAGAGUUUUUCCGUCAGACCAUCUGGAGGGAAGUAGUCAUAAUCUACUACAAGUUCUCCCGAAAUGAUCAAGUACACAUAGGGAAAUUGUUACAUUGUUGAAAAACAUGUCUGCUUCGCUUCCUCCUGGGGAGCUCUAAAGACUUUUAUCAGAGAUGGACUCCCUGCUUGAGGUACAGAGAGAUUAAGAUGAGGCCAAAGAACAGCUCUCUCCCCUUGUAAUUCUCCAGGUAGCCAGUUUUCAGCUGGCUGCCAUUUUUUGCAAUUUAAGAUGCUAAGAGAAUUUAAAUGAGAUCAGCCCUGUGUGUGUAAAGAAGGAAACAGUCUGUAUGGCCAAACAGAAAAGGUACCAUGUUGUAUGAGUUACUGCCUUUCACGUUAACUGGUGUGUGUGUGUGUGUGUGUGUGUGUGUGUAGAACAAAAGUACAGUUGUCUAUACAAUUAGUUAUUUAAGCUAUUUCAAGUACCAUUACAGCAAGGGGGAAGGGAGGGAACAUCUAAACUACAUAAAAUUAUUUUUAAAAAUUCGUUCUAGAAAAAAGGAAAUGCCAGAGUAGUAAGAUAAGGAGUCUUAAUUAGCAACAAAUUCAUCUAUUUCCUUCCUCCAAAACCGAGACAGUCUUCUAAGGCAAUUUGCUUGGAGAGCAGUUUUGCGCCAUAAAUCUGGGACAUGUUUUUCAUGUGUGUUUGCCCUGUGUGAGGCUUAAGAAAAACACAGCAACCAAACCAUCCAGUUCAGCCCUGGAGGGAAAGACCUAGAAGACCUAAUCACCCGUGAUGGCGAUUACAUAACAGAGAAUCGCGCGCGCGCGCGCGCACACACACACACACACACACACACACACACACACACUCCAAGAGUCUCAAAAAAAAAAAAAAGAAAAUCAGCCUUUGGCUUCCUGUCACAGAAGAUAUCUCCUUUUUUUUUUUUUCCUUU
This 2123-nucleotide long non-coding RNA is filed under the name Homo sapiens (human). Its description in RNAcentral is "HSALNT0064532". Lineage: Eukaryota; Metazoa; Chordata; Mammalia; Primates; Hominidae. The record is from RNAcentral.